Non-coding RNA from Fusarium torreyae, 102 nucleotides. Lineage: Eukaryota; Fungi; Ascomycota; Sordariomycetes; Hypocreales; Nectriaceae. The record is from the annotation of a GenBank genome assembly.
GCCCCGUUGGCUCAGUGGUAAAGCGUAUCACUAGUAAAAAAGCCCGUUCGACGAACUCGCUACAACAUGAUAAGAUCACUGGUUCGAUUCCAGUACGGGGCA